Ictidomys tridecemlineatus (thirteen-lined ground squirrel) is the source of this 1737-nucleotide non-coding RNA. The record is from RefSeq and is a predicted model, not a curated record. NCBI's taxonomy places the organism in Eukaryota, Metazoa, Chordata, Mammalia, Rodentia, Sciuridae.
UCCCCUGAGGCAAAGUGUGUCCUCUGCGACUGACCGACAGGACACAGCGUUGGAGUAACAUACAUGUUUCAUUUUUAAUGAUAUUUGGUAGAACAUCAAAAGCGGCUGUUUUGACGUGACCCUGCAUUAAAACAAAGAAGCCACGAGGGGAGGAGGCAGAAGGCCAUGGCUGGAGGGAGGGAUCAUGAAGUGAAGAACAAGAGAAAAGCAGUGAGAUGCUUCUGAGAGAAAGACAGAGGAAGAGGGAGAGGAUAAGAAGACGAUCAACCGUUUCUUUCUGUCCCUGUAAUCUAACUGUGAGAAGAGAGAAAAGCAAAAGGUUCACCACACACAGGACAGGACGUGCUUUGUCGCUGGGGACCGCCACAUUUAUUUACUCAUCCAACAAGCAUUUCCUGAAUGCCUACCAUGCCUCAGGCCCAGAGCAAGCCCAGCUGCCAGGAGCUGGGGGCUGCUGCAGGAAGGCUGGCCUGAACAAGAGAGCCUGGACAACACAUCAGACGGGGACCAACAGGGUGACCAGAGGCAGGACAGGGGAUGGCUCUGGGGAACCUCUGGGCAGCAUGGAGAUAAGGCCUCCGUGCUGCGAGACGUCCAGCCUGUGACCUUCCAGAGAAUCCAUGCUCCAAGCCCAGGGACAAGCAAGCACAAAGGCCUGAGGCCAGGAAAGAGCUGCCGGGGUUGGAGGCGCCUGAGGAAACCAAUACGGUGGACACGAGAAGAGCCAGGAGAUGAGGCUGGAGGAGCCACAGGCCUGGCUUUUCAUUUGAAAGUUGAAUCCACCUUUUUUCAAAAGCGGGCUCCAGGGGUGCAGUUAGCACAGUAUCAACCACCUGCACAUCAGCCACGCCGUAGGCUCUGGGUCUGCAACAAGACCACGGAUGAGAGCUUCAAGGGAUCCUUUCCUGGCCUUGACCACAGCACUUCCAGCACAUUCUGCAGGGCCCAUUUCUUUGUCCUCUGAAGACUUUCUCCCCUGGUCUUGCAGAACACCUGGGUCGCAUUUCCUCCUCCUGUGUGCCCCGCACAUCCUCAGGAGUUCACUCAUCACCUGUUACUUUUGGAGGGAGGGGCAGGGUUCCACCUGAGCCUUCUUUUCUCUGUUUUGGAGACGUGCACACUUGCCAAUGACUGCUCUUCUUCUGUGUGGAGCUUUAGCUUUGUGAAUAUAAAUACCCACUAAAAUUCUCUACCUAGAAAUCCCACCAGCAUCUUUCACGCAGCAGCCCAGAGCAGAACCCAUUCUCCCUGCAUGGAAUCAUCUGACGUCGAGCACAGCAUCAUGGUGGCCUCUUCAUCUGGCUCUGAUGGUGAACCAGUCACCCUCAGGCCUGCCCCACGCCCCCACCUCCAGUGAAACUCCGAGCUUCCUCUUAAAUGCCUCUAUAAUCUGCACUUCUUCCAAGACUCUACCAGGCAGUGCCCAGCACAGACUAACGGAUGUCUGGGCCUGAUUGUGUUUGGCGAAAGGAUGGACAUGACUAAGGUCAGCCCAGGCUGCAUCACGCUCCGCUCUGUGCACAACGGGGUCACACUGUCUUGCUCUUCCAGAGUCCAUGGCCCAGUGACUCAUUCCGGACCCCUGUGGACUUGUGCCCUGACAAUGCCACUUUCAGAACAGGCUGGAACAAGUUUCCUAAUGUGCUGAAACUCCACAGAGGCUCUGAAUUCAUCCUAAGUGCUGCACAAUCAGAAAAUAGCAAGUGUUUUGUCUGCAUUCAUAUAAAUUCCUAUCAA